AAAUUGAAGAGUUUGAUCAUGGCUCAGAUUGAACGCUGGCGGCAGGCCUAACACAUGCAAGUCGAGCGGUAGCACAGAGGAGCUUGCUCCUUGGGUGACGAGCGGCGGACGGGUGAGUAAUGUCUGGGAAACUGCCUGAUGGAGGGGGGGAUAACUACUGGAAACGGUAGCUAAUACCGCAUAACCUCGCAAGAGCAAAGAGGGGGACCUUAGGGCCUCUCGCCAUCAGAUGUGCCCAGAUGGGAUUAGCUAGUAGGUGAGGUAAUGGCUCACCUAGGCGACGAUCCCUAGCUGGUCUGAGAGGAUGACCAGCCACACUGGAACUGAGACACGGUCCAGACUCCUACGGGAGGCAGCAGUGGGGGAAUAUUGCACAAUGGGCGCAAGCCUGAUGCAGCCAUGCCGCGUGUGUGAAGAAGGCCUUCGGGUUGUAAAGCACUUUCAGCGAGGAGGAAGGCGGUAAGGUUAAUAACCUUAUCGAUUGACGUUACUCGCAGAAGAAGCACCGGCUAACUCCGUGCCAGCAGCCGCGGUAAUACGGAGGGUGCAAGCGUUAAUCGGAAUGACUGGGCGUAAAGCGCACGCAGGCGGUCUGUUAAGUUGGAUGUGAAAUCCCCGGGCUUAACCUGGGAACUGCAUUCAAAACUGACAGGCUAGAGUCUUGUAGAGGGGGGUAGAAUUCCAGGUGUAGCGGUGAAAUGCGUAGAGAUCUGGAGGAAUACCGGUGGCGAAGGCGGCCCCCUGGACAAAGACUGACGCUCAGGUGCGAAAGCGUGGGGGAGCAAACAGGAUUAGAUACCCUGGUAGUCCACGCUGUAAACGAUGUCGAUUUGGAGGUUGUGCCCUUGAGGCGUGGCUUCCGGAGCUAACGCGUUAAAUCGACCGCCUGGGGAGUACGGCCGCAAGGUUAAAACUCAAAUGAAUUGACGGGGGGCCCGCACAAGCGGUGGAGCAUGUGGUUUAAUUCGAUGCAACGCGAAGAACCUUACCUACUCUUGACAUCCACAGAAUUUGGUAGAGAUACCUUAGUGCCUUCGGGAACUGUGAGACAGGUGCUGCAUGGCUGUCGUCAGCUCGUGUUGUGAAAUGUUGGGUUAAGUCCCGCAACGAGCGCAACCCUUAUCCUUUGUUGCCAGCGAUUCGGUCGGGAACUCAAAGGAGACUGCCGGUGAUAAACCGGAGGAAGGUGGGGAUGACGUCAAGUCAUCAUGGCCCUUACGAGUAGGGCUACACACGUGCUACAAUGGCGUAUACAAAGAGAAGCGACCUCGCGAGAGCAAGCGGACCUCAUAAAGUACGUCGUAGUCCGGAUUGGAGUCUGCAACUCGACUCCAUGAAGUCGGAAUCGCUAGUAAUCGUAGAUCAGAAUGCUACGGUGAAUACGUUCCCGGGCCUUGUACACACCGCCCGUCACACCAUGGGAGUGGGUUGCAAAAAGAAGUAGGUAGCUUAACCUUCGGGAGGGCGCUUACCACUUUGUGAUUCAUGACUGGGGUGAAGUCGUAACAAGGUAACCGUAGGGGGAACCUGCGGUUGGAUCACCUCCUUACCAAGAAG
Molecule: ribosomal RNA, 1557 nt
Filed under: Pectobacterium carotovorum
Lineage: Bacteria; Pseudomonadati; Pseudomonadota; Gammaproteobacteria; Enterobacterales; Pectobacteriaceae
Description: bacterial SSU rRNA
Rfam family: Bacterial small subunit ribosomal RNA
Source: RNAcentral